GGUGGGUUCGCCCACCACUAGGACAAACAUAAACCUUUUGUAAUUGCAAUCAGCGUCAGUAACAAAUUAAUAAUUACAACUUUCAACAACGGAUCUCUUGGUUCUGGCAUCGAUGAAGAACGCAGCGAAAUGCGAUAAGUAGUGUGAAUUGCAGAAUUCAGUGAAUCAUCGAAUCUUUGAACGC
Molecule: ribosomal RNA, 184 nt
Filed under: Alternaria sp.
Lineage: Eukaryota; Fungi; Ascomycota; Dothideomycetes; Pleosporales; Pleosporaceae
Description: 5.8S ribosomal RNA
Rfam family: 5.8S ribosomal RNA (bases 78-184)
About the family: 5.8S ribosomal RNA (5.8S rRNA) is a component of the large subunit of the eukaryotic ribosome.
Source: RNAcentral